GCAAACUUGGUCAUUUAGAGGAAGUAAAAGUCGUAACAAGGUUUCCGUAGGUGAACCUGCGGAAGGAUCAUUAACACGUCCACACGUAUCAACCCUCGCGAAUCUGUUUUCGUCGGUCCUGACGACUUGGAGUUGAUGAAUGCUGUCACGGUUGGAGAAGAGAGCAUUAGAGGUGCGGCCUCGCUUGCUUUCUUCUACAGCGAUCAUCACUAUAACUCUUUGUUGUUACUCUACUGGACCGUUUACCUUCAUGCUCCACCGUCAUGUAACUUAUUUUUAACCCCUUGUACUUAUUGUACUGAACUUCUUUUCGUGUUCUUUCGCUUAGUGUUGAUGCACUCUUGCGAUUGAAUCGAAAAUAUACGAAACAAAGAACAACUCUUAGCAACGGAUAUCUUGGUUUCCACAUCGAUGAAGAACGCAGC
This 425-nucleotide unclassified non-coding RNA is filed under the name uncultured fungus. RNAcentral describes it as "partial contains small subunit ribosomal RNA, internal transcribed spacer 1, and 5.8S ribosomal RNA". The stretch from base 1 to 73 matches the Rfam family "Eukaryotic small subunit ribosomal RNA", at positions 1759 to 1831 of the family's 1831-position model. Lineage: Eukaryota; Fungi. The record is from RNAcentral.